CCCUUAGAUGUUCUGGGCCGCACGCGUGCUACACUGAGUGGAUCAGCGGGUCAGGUUGCGCGAAAGUGUUUCCUAAUCUUUAUAUCCGCUCGUGAUGGGGAUUGACGGUUGCAAUUUUCCGUCAUGAACGAGGAAUACCUUGUAAGCGCGGGUCAUCAUCCCGCGCUGAAUACGUCCCUGCCCUUUGUACACACCGCCCGUCGCUCCUACCGAUUGAGUGGUCCGGUGAGGCUUUGGGAUCUGAGCGGAAAGAGCGUUUCGCUGUUUCUGCCCGGAAAACUCAGUCGAACCUUAUCAUUUAGAGGAAGGAGAAGUCGUAACA
RNAcentral lists this ribosomal RNA (322 nucleotides) under uncultured eukaryote. RNAcentral's name for it is "partial 18S ribosomal RNA". It matches the Rfam family "Eukaryotic small subunit ribosomal RNA", at positions 1470 to 1796 of the family's 1831-position model. The record is from RNAcentral.